UUAAACGUGCUGGUGAUAGGUGCUUGUAAAAAAUAGGUGCGGUUUUUAGGGCGAAGGACAUUUGUCCCAGUUUGGAGGAAAUGUUACUCCACACUUUCAUUCAAGACGCGCUGCCUUGCAAUCUGUUCCUAGCUCAUAAAGGCAGGUCUUAAGAUGUACUACACCGCGCAACUCAUAUAAAUAGUAUCUACUCAGGACCUGCUGGCGGUCUAUUUCGCCAACAAGGCCUACAAAGUCUUGUGCAAACUUCGAAUGGCAACGCUUCAGGAUGGGAGAUCUGAGCAGUAAGUAAGUCGGUAAGUUUCGCACUUGAAAGCUUCCACGAGGCUAAAGAGACGAAAAUUCGGCGGCUAUGAAGUUGUAGUGCCCUACAAGUCCAUUAUCGCCGAAUAUCUGAGCUAUUAUGACUGCCUGAUAUCCAGCUCACAGACAACAAUAACAUUGCAGCCAGCUUACCAAAAAGUCCUUUUCUAUCUUCGAUGUGAUCCUGGGUAGCUCGGGAAGUACGCCCAGAUGGCUUCAUCUAAGAACAAGACAGAAAAGCGCGACAUCAGGAAAAUGCCUUGAACUCAAGGAUUCUCCAGCGCAGUCCUGAGCAGUUGCAUCGAUCUGGCCUUGAUCAUUAAUGAGGAAGCCAAGCAAAUCCCAGCCCAUCCAAAACCCGAAUGGGAUGAGCCCAAGACCCCAAUGUUUCAAGACUAGACUGCCAGACUACUUUGAGGCCAUGUCCUUAUCCAUUACCCCGUCCCUCAAGUGGAUUUGGUCCAGCCCUAUUUGGGACAGAACUUAGCCUUCAGGUGCGGAACUCACUGGAUUCUGAUAGCAUGUCUUGGCGAAGUCGAAUUCAACACUUCCAUGGUGACUCUGGCCACCUUAUAACAACUGUGCGAUUUCAGCUGCGCAGUUUCGAUGAAGCCAAUGCGAAUUUGAGCCAAAUUUAAGACCAGUUGGUAAUCUCCAAUGAAAUGGUAGUAGGUCGCAAGAAUACUUAAGACUACUGGAUGGCAUUCAUCAACCUUAUAGGCCGCAUUGAGGGGACUUAAACCAUCCCUAUAAAGUCUUGGGUCGCGUUGAUUCAGUUUCAUAACGACCCUUCCAAGUAGCGCAUUUUGACAUCGACUGUUGGCUUCAGAUCCAUCUCAAAGGAACGGCGGCACUGUUCAGAUCUCCCAUCCUGAGAUUCGAUUCCAUUCGAAGUUUGUCCAAGUCUUUGUAGGCCUUCUUGUCAAAGUAGGCCUCCAGCAGGUCCUCUCCAGAUACAAUUUAUAGGAGCUGCACGGUGUUGUACAUCUUAAAACCUGCCUUUAUGAGCUAGGAACAGACUGCAAGGCAACUAAGGAAUCUGUUUGUAUAUAAAAUUGUGUGCAGAAACAUUUCCUCCAAGUUGGGACUAAUGUCCUUCGACUAAAAACAGCUUCCAUUUUUUACAAGCACCUAGCACAAGCACGUUUUUAAAGUCGCGUUGAUCCAGUUUCAGAAUGACCCUUCCAAGUAGGGCAUUCUGACAUCGACUAUAGUGCCUCAGAGCCCUUUUAAAGGAACGACGGCACUGUUCGAUCUCCUAUCCAGAGAAAACAAUGUCCUAUCACAGAGCGAACAUCAGCAGGUCUCCGAGGUUGGGUCACUCUUGAAAUAGCGGAAGGAUCCUAUGUAAUCCUGACGCUUCCCGAAGAGGAAAAUUGUGAUUUAAAUGCAAGCGAAAUCGAGUCAGCUGAUUAAAAAUGUGCACUCCAAUGCCACACAUCUCUAAACCAAUUAAAUAAUUAAUAAAAUAGGCAUUAUUUAUUUCAAAAAUAUUAUUUGU
Non-coding RNA from Drosophila suzukii, 1804 nucleotides. Lineage: Eukaryota; Metazoa; Arthropoda; Insecta; Diptera; Drosophilidae. The record is from RefSeq and is a predicted model, not a curated record.